AUUGUUUUCAUAAAACGCGUGACAUCCUAAACCUUGACAUUGUUGGCGGAAUCAGAGAACAGAAAAAAACCGUUUAGACAUAUUUAAAUACCUAGUACAAUUGAUCCUUUCAUUACAGUAGUUUCAGCAUAGUCGAUAAAAUACAUAGUUUAUUUAUUUUUGUUUUAUUUAUUUACACAAUCCUUACAUAUGUUUCAGGAUUAAAAAAGAGGAUGAAUACUGGACUAAUAAUCUGGUAGAAAUUAUUAGAAAAAGCAGGAAUGAAACUGAUUGGUACCCUUCAAAUUCAAGCGUGAUUUGUAGUGUACAUUUUGACGAUAAUGAUUUCUACACCACAGAAGGAGGACGUCUCUAUCUUGUGAAAAAUGCGAUACCAAAGAAGUUUUUGGAGCCUUCAUGUUUCCAGGAAGAAAACUUAGUUGAUUCAUCUAUACCUACAACGGAAUUAAAAUCAAGUACCGUGGAAUUAGACCAACCUCACACAUCUCAGAAACUCAAUCUCACUGUGCCUGGAUUGCCAUUUGAAGCUGAAGUACUACUUUCUCCUUCUUUCUAACGUUAGACGGGCAUUUUUCCACUUUCUAUAAAUAAGUAGAUAUAUUAAUACAAAUAUUAUAGAGAAUUCUCACACAGAUUGGCAGAGUCCCACGACAAGCUCAAUAAGGUUUGCGUUGUGGAUACCUAGACAACGAUAUAUUUAAUAUAGGUACAAACACUUAGAUACAUAUAAAACAUCCAUGACUCAGAAACAAAAUAUGUAUGCGUGCUCAUCAAGACAUCAUACAAGAAAUGCCCUUAAAUGACGAUUCUUUUUUUUUCUUAUUACACUUAUUAUUUUAUUAUAUACAUCAUUAUUAUUUUUUAUAUUUCUAGACUGGAGCCCUGGAGACAAAGAGUACACUCGUGGAAGAAAAAGAAACCUCCGACCCAAAAACUCUCCUCUAUGUACAAAAGGCAGGUAUCUGUAAUACAAUAGGUACUUACCGUAAAUUAAAUGCAACUAAAAUAUCA
Molecule: RNA transcript, 1011 nt
Organism: Leguminivora glycinivorella
Lineage: Eukaryota; Metazoa; Arthropoda; Insecta; Lepidoptera; Tortricidae
Exons: 3
Source: RefSeq, a predicted model, not a curated record